Molecule: unclassified non-coding RNA, 350 nt
Filed under: soil metagenome
Description: partial contains 5.8S ribosomal RNA, internal transcribed spacer 2, and large subunit ribosomal RNA
Rfam family: 5.8S ribosomal RNA (bases 1-120)
Source: RNAcentral
GAUGAAGAACGUAGUGAACUGCGAUAAGUAAUGUGAAUUGCAGAAUUCAGUGAAUCAUCGAGUCUUUGAACGCACAUUGCGCCCCCUGGCAUUCCGGGGGGCAUGCCUGUCCGAGCGUCAUUGCUGCCCUUCAAGCCCGGCUUGUGUGUUGGGUCGUCGUCCCCCCCGGGGGACGGGCCCGAAAGGCAGCGGCGGCACCGCGUCCGGUCCUCGAGCGUAUGGGGCUUUGUCACCCGCUCGAUUAGGGCCGGCCGGGCGCCAGCCGGCGUCUCCAACCUUCUAUUUUACCAGGUUGACCUCGGAUCAGGUAGGGAUACCUGCUGAACUUAAGCAUAUCAAUAAGCGGAGGA